RNAcentral lists this ribosomal RNA (496 nucleotides) under uncultured bacterium. RNAcentral's name for it is "partial 16S ribosomal RNA". It matches the Rfam family "Bacterial small subunit ribosomal RNA", at positions 28 to 506 of the family's 1533-position model. The record is from RNAcentral.
GAUGAACGCUGGCGGCGUGCCUAAUACAUGCAAGUCGAGCGAACAGACGAGGAGCUUGCUCCUCUGACGUUAGCGGCGGACGGGUGAGUAACACGUGGAUAACCUACCUAUAAGACUGGGAUAACUUCGGGAAACCGGAGCUAAUACCGGAUAAUAUAUUGAACCGCAUGGUUCAAUAGUUAAAGACGGUUUUGCUGUCACUUAUAGAUGGAUCCGCGCCGCAUUAGCUAGUUGGUAAGGUAACGGCUUACCAAGGCGACGAUGCGUAGCCGACCUGAGAGGGUGAUCGGCCACACUGGAACUGAGACACGGUCCAGACUCCUACGGGAGGCAGCAGUAGGGAAUCUUGCGCAAUGGGCGAAAGCCUGACGGAGCAACGCCGCGUGAGUGAUGAAGGUCUUCGGAUCGUAAAACUCUGUUAUUAGGGAAGAACAAAUGUGUAAGUAACUAUGCACGUCUGGACGGUACCUAAUCAGAAAGCCACGGCUAACUACGU